This 1268-nucleotide unclassified non-coding RNA is filed under the name Hevea brasiliensis (rubber tree). Lineage: Eukaryota; Viridiplantae; Streptophyta; Magnoliopsida; Malpighiales; Euphorbiaceae. The record is from RNAcentral.
UGAGGCAGCAGCAACAGGCUACUGAUGGCCAAUUGCAAGCCAUGGUACAGCGACUUCAAGGGAUGGAGCAGCGGCAGCAACAAAUGAUGUCUUUCCUGUCAAAGGCUAUGCAAAGCCCUGGCUUCUUGGCUCAGUUUGUACAGCAGCAAAAUGAAAGCAAUAGACGCAUAACAGAAGCUAACAAAAAACGAAGGCUCAAACAAGAUGGUAUUUCUGAGAAUGAGAAUUCUAGUGCUCCUGAUGGCCAAAUUGUGAAGUACAAGCCUCUGAUAAAUGAGGCAGCAAAAGCCAUGCUGAGGCAAAUCAUGAAAAUGGAUGCUUGUUCCGGGAUUGAAUCUUAUAACAAUGGUCUUGAAGUUUUCCUAAUUGGCAGUGGCUCACCAUCAUCCAGCGGAAUGGAGAGUGGGAGGUCUUCAAGCCAUAUAUCAGAGGUGACUCUUCAAGAGGUCACACCAACUACAGGUGAUUCAACCUAUGUACCAGCAGCUUCAGGGCAUGACCCUGCAGCUUCCAUUUCAGAAAUAAAAUGCACUCCAUGCAUUCCCAGUUCUGAAAAGAUAACAGCUUCUCAGCUUCCUGAUAUGAGUGCACUGGUUGGAUCACAAGAGGCACCCUCCAUUUCUGUUCCUCAGUCAGAUGUAGUCAUGCCAACGCUUUCCCAAAUACCAGAAAUGGUGCCUGAAAGUAUUGUUGAUAUUCCUGGCGAAGGUUAUGAGGAGCCUGAGACUGGCAAUGAUGGAUUUAUGGAUCUGACUUUAGUAGGAAUUGAAAAUGUUCCCUCAGAUCCUGAUAUUGAUAUGUUGCUUGAAAAUUCUAGCUUCUGGGAUGAACUCGUGCAAAGCCCAGUACUUGAGGAUAUUGAAUCAAGCUCUGUGGAUGGUGAAGCAAAGGGAAACGAUGUGCAGCCAAUGGACAGUGGUUGGGACAAAACUCAGCACAUGGAUCAGCUUGCAGAGCAGAUGGGACUUCUCACAUCAGAUGCUAAAAAGCUUUGAUCUGAUUUACAGAAUGUACAUCCUGCACUCUGCCCUAGGUAAACACCUUGUUAAACUUUUGACCUUUAAAAUCAUAUGUUCCUCUUUCUUUGGCCAUUGAAAAAAUAGUCGAUACCUUUUGUACUUGUUUGCCUGUGGUUUUUUCUUUACAUAUAUCGAGACAUAAAUUAGCUCUCUUCAAAAGUUUUAAUCUGAAAUUUUAGUGAUCUUCUCUGUUCAUCUUUCGGGAAAUUCAAGAUCUCAAGAAACAUAAGAUGUUUUGCAUCCAUGUCU